AACGGUCUAUACCUGCGGUACCUGCGGAAGGAUCAUUAGAAAUGCGGGGCUGCUGUAAGUGGCCUUCUUUUUUAACUGUGCACCGUUUAAUUUGGGGGUGGAGCGAAAUUCAUUUCAAUCCACCGCCUGCCCGGGUGGCAUCAAUCAUCUCCCCUAGGGGGGCCGAGGAGUGCGCCUAAUUAUUUGACUAAUCUGACUGAUCAUUACAAUGAAAUUGUUAACAUAUAAACAACUUUCAAC
RNAcentral lists this unclassified non-coding RNA (240 nucleotides) under soil metagenome. RNAcentral describes it as "partial contains 5.8S ribosomal RNA, internal transcribed spacer 2, and large subunit ribosomal RNA". The record is from RNAcentral.